This 251-nucleotide ribosomal RNA is filed under the name uncultured prokaryote. Its description in RNAcentral is "partial 16S rRNA". It matches the Rfam family "Bacterial small subunit ribosomal RNA", at positions 525 to 775 of the family's 1533-position model. The record is from RNAcentral.
ACGUAGGAGGCAAGCGUUAUCCGAAUUUACUGGGCGUAAAGCGCGUGCAGGCGGUUCGGUAAGUUGGAUGUGAAAUCUCCCGGCUCAACCGGGAGAGGUCGUUCAAUACUGUCGGACUAGAGGAUGGUAGAGGGAGGUGGAAUUCCCGGUGUAGUGGUGAAAUGCGUAGAUAUCGGGAGGAACACCAGUGGCGAAGGCGGCCUCCUGGACCAUUCCUGACGCUCAGACGCGAAAGCUAGGGGAGCGAACGG